Molecule: ribosomal RNA, 500 nt
Filed under: uncultured bacterium
Lineage: Bacteria
Description: partial 16S ribosomal RNA
Rfam family: Bacterial small subunit ribosomal RNA
Source: RNAcentral
AUUGAACGCUGGCGGCAUGCCUUACACAUGCAAGUCGAACGGUAACAGGUCUUCGGAUGCUGACGAGUGGCGAACGGGUGAGUAAAGUAUCGGAACAUGCCCAGUCGUGGGGGAUAACGUAGCGGAAGUUACGCUAAUACCGCAUAAGAUCUACGGAUGAAAGCGGGGGACGCGCAAGAGCCUCGUGCGACUGGCGUGGCUGAUAUCAGAUUAGGUAGUUGGUGGGGUAAAGGCCCACCAAGCCUGCGAUCUGUAGCUGGUCUGAGAGGACGACCAGCCACACUGGAACUGAGACACGGUCCAGACUCCUACGGGAGGCAGCAGUGGGGAAUUUUGGACAAUGGGCGCAAGCCUGAUCCAGCAAUGCCGCGUGCAGGACGAAGGCCUUCGGGUUGUAAACUGCUUUUGUACAGAGCGAAAAGGUCUUCUCUAAUACAGGAGGCUGAUGACGGUACUGUAAGAAUAAGCACCGGCUAACUACGUGCCAGCCGCCGCGGUAA